Molecule: small nuclear RNA, 21 nt
Filed under: Arabidopsis thaliana (thale cress)
Lineage: Eukaryota; Viridiplantae; Streptophyta; Magnoliopsida; Brassicales; Brassicaceae
Description: snRNA_13647
Source: RNAcentral
CCGGAAUCUCUAUAAUAAACU